This is an RNA transcript of Xyrauchen texanus (razorback sucker), 2271 nucleotides long. It is a transcript of the gene named zinc finger protein 414-like, with no coding region annotated. The transcript has 7 exons. The record is from RefSeq and is a predicted model, not a curated record. Lineage: Eukaryota; Metazoa; Chordata; Actinopteri; Cypriniformes; Catostomidae.
UUUCUUCGAAGCCUGCUGUGUUCUUACUCUGCUCACUCAUUUCAGAACCAGAUAUGUGCUAUUUAAUGAAAGUGUGCAUGAGUAUUUAUGUCUAAUUUAUCUCUAAUUUAUCUCUAAUCUUAACUAGAUCAAUUAAUCUUCGUGUCUGGCUGGAAUAUUUAACCACAUAAUCCAUCCCACCACCCCAACUGUAAGGAAGCACCAUGGAGGGUUGUCAGAUGUCCUGUUCAUUUUAUGGGUGCAAGAGGACUUACAACAGUCCAGAGGCACUGAAUAGUCAUCAGCAAGACCAUCAAAAGAACACCGCCCAGUCUCUUCCUGGGAAAUUUUUUCUCUGCUCUUCAAUAGGAUGUGAUGGCUCCUUCAGCAACAUGCAGCAGCUCAUGGAGCAUAUGAGGCACCACCAUAAGCCAAAUUAUUAUUUUCUGUGCGAAAGCUGCAAGGCCAAACUACGCUCUUACCGUACCCUUCUUAAACACCUGCAAACAUGUGCUAAGGUUGCCAAGAACAAGGCUGCAAAGACAGAGACUGGAAUGGCACCUGAUGCAGAGCCCACUGGUGUUUCACUCACUGCUGGUGACAUGGAGUCAUCUGGAUCAUUCUUGGACACAAAUGGGCCAGAGGAGAUGGAGUCUAAUCCCUCUCUGACCACAUAUCCAACAACAGCUAACAUACCAGUGACCCAGCAGUCUCCAGCAAACAAUGUUUUCAUGAACCCCACCUCCGUAGGCCCUGCAACUCUGCCCCUUGCCACUGUUGAGCCUGCCUUAACCCAAAAUCUUUCCUAUCAGCCUGAAUCCCCCUAUAGUCCCUUUCCACCUGCUCUGUCUCCUGUUAACCCAGCCUUCCUGCCAGAUCCCAGCCUAAAGCAGCAGCGGACUCCCAAGUCUGGUCCUCCCAGUCUGCCCUCUUCACUGACACUGCCAUCAUCUCCAGGAUCAAAUGCAGUAUGGAGGAAGAACCAAGACCCGCCCGGGCCGCAUUUGCAAAGAUGGAACUCUCCGAGCAGGCAGAGUUUAAGUAGAGAUGAAGUCCAGGUCAGUCCUUCAACUUUCGUAUCCUAUGGGAACACACCAGAGGCCGAUACAGUUGCCUACAAUGCGGCCACUGUACCCCAGACAGAGGGGAGAUGACUGCUCACAUCAACUUGCACAAGAAUUCAGGGGGCAAAGUAAACAAUGAUACUGAUACAGAGGUUGGCAAUGGUUCCUUAACGGCCAAGGCUUCACCACACUCGGAAAACUCAACAUAUACACAGCUCUAACAUGAAAUGAGAUGCUAAACUUAAUGAUUGACAAAUUAUAUUUGUUGUAGCCUUUGAUACAGAGAGAGAAACUUAAAUGUUUUUAUUUCACUGACAAUGAGGACUCUUAGAAUUUCUAUGGUCUGGAACUGUACAACAAACAAUAUUCAAGCAGAAGGAGGGAAAAACUGCUGCAUAUUUCGUCUUCCCUAAGACAAUAUUCUCAAACUUAAAAUGUCUUGCUUGUCUUUUGUUGAAUAAUUUGGAAUAGCAUACAAUUAAUAUCAGUAUUUAUUCAGUUAUUGUUUUUUGUAUCUCUUUGGAGCAUGUUGCAGAUGCUUGUAUUCAGUUGUUUCUAGUGUAAAUAAAUAGCCUAUAGACAUCUUCAUCACCUGUUAUUGUAUUAGAAUGAUACAAUAAAUAAUGACUAUUUAAAAUGGUGCCAAAAUGUUUGUUUGUAUUAAAGGGAAAGUUCACCCAAAAAUGAAAAUUCGAUGAUCAUUUACUCACCCUCAUUGCUUUUCAUAUGACUUUAUUACUUCUGCAGAACACAAAUUAAGAUUUCUAGAAGAAUGUUUCAGCUCUGGUGGUCUAUACAAUGCAAAUGAAUGGUGAUUAGAUCUUUCCAGCUCCAAAAAAAUCACAAAAAGGCAGCAUAUAAGUAAUUAAAAUGACUUCAGUGGUGUCUUUAAAAGCUAUGUGGUGAGACGGAGGGAUUUAAAUAUUGAUCUGUUUCUCACCCAAACAUAUUUUAAACCACUGGAGUCGUAUGGAUUGCUUUUAUGCUGCCUUUUAUGUGAUAUUUGGAACUUGAAAUGUUUGGUCACCAUUCACUUGCAUUGUAUGGACCUACAGAGCUGAAAUAAUCUUCUAAAAAUCUUUGUGUUCUGCAGAAGAAAGUAAGUCAUACACAUCUGGGAUGGCACAAGGGUGAGUAAAUGAUCAGAUAAUUUCUUUAUUUUUGUCUGAACUAUACCUUUUCAGAUCAAUAGUUUAUGUAGUUUUUGCCACCUGAAAAUAAAACCUGU